CGAAGUAUAUGUAGUACCUGAAAUCUAAUUGAGAAUGGGCUAAUUUGUCGUAUCGGGAGUGGAGAAGCUGUGAACAUUUGGAACGAUCCUUGGCUACCGAGUCUUGGGAAUACUAGAGUGUUAGUUAAUUCUAUUAAUCCUUAUUGGAUAACUGUAAGUUAGUUGAUUGAUAAAGAAACAAUUACCUAGAAGAAAGCUAAAAUUUUAGACAUAUUUGGCACCAAUCAAGCUGAGCGUAUCUUCAAGAUCCCUCUCUCUUGUAUACGAUUAAAUGACAUGUUGGGCUGGAGGCAUGAGGCAACCGGGGAAUACGAAGUAAAAAGUGGGUACAAAGUCCUAAUUUCAGAACAUCUACAUUCUAACUAAUCAGAUUCCUACUGCUACACCCCACAUUUACAAAGAAUUUUACAACUCUCUAUGGAAAUUACAACUACCAGAAAAAAUAAAUAUACAUGUGUGAAGACUGUUCAAUAAUUUUUUGCCUCAUUUCAUCAAUUUAGCCAAGUGUAGAUUGACCGGAGACGUUUUGUGUCCACUGUGCAACAACCCAUUGGAGGAUGCUAAUCAUCUGAGUUAGACUUGUCAAGUACUUGAGCAAUUGUGGAAACACCUACAAAUUUUGAGUAACCAAAGGGUGGAUUCCUCAAAUUAUAAAGAUUGGUUAGUACAAAUGUUUAUUGUAAAGAAUAAAAGACAGCGAAUGCUAAUGGCUAUAUCUUACUAGGCUCUUUGGUUUAGAAGAAACAAGUUGGUUUAUGAAGGACAGAAAGGUUCUGUCCAAGAUAUUUUGGGAUUUAUAUAGGGGUACAUGCAGGAGCUAAAUCAGACUUAGAAUCCUUUUCAGUUUAUGAAACCUAUGAUGAAGGAACUAUGGCGACCUCCAAAUACUGAUGUUAUUAAACUAAACUUUGGUGCUUCUUUUAAUACAGAUACAUACACUUCAGUUGCAGCAGUUCUGGCUCGAAAUAACAAAGGUCAGAUUAUGGGGUCCUGUACUUACCCUUAUGAUGGAGUCCAAGAUGCUUUUGUGGCAGAAGCUAGGGCUUGCGAGAGAGUCUUACUCUUUGCAGCUGAAAUGGGUUUCCUUAAGAUUUCUGUAGAAUGAGAUUCCUUGACAAUCAUCAGAAAGAUCAAAAAAAAAAAAGACAAAUAGAUCCUCCGACCGGUGAUUCUAAGUAUCUACGACUUAUGAAGAAGGUUCGAGGAGAUAUCUUACCACUUCAUUUCAAGAGAAGUAAAUAAGGCUGCCCAUAUGUUGGCUAAGAAGGGACAUCGGUAUCGAGCACCAUGUUUUUGGGUUGAAAAAGCCCUAGAUCCAGUUGAGAAGAUGACAAUUGUGGACUGGAACAACUGGAUUUGACAAUAUUCGAUAGUAUUAAGGUUUUUUUUUUCAGAAGCUUGAGAAUGGAAAAGGUUCACUCUGAAUCUCCACGGUCUUGUUUCUCUCAAGCUUUUGCCUCUUCUACUAUGGUUGAUGGUUUUUUAGCUUUGUUUGAAGAGGUUUUGGCUGGUAUUUCUCUGCUUUCUCUCUAUGGUUGUUUAGGGGAAGGCUCUGUUUUGGUUCGUUUAUGGUUUUUUACUUUGGGUUUUGUUUUAGGCAUUUUAAUAUUUAUUUGUUAUUUAGUUGUGUGUGGCUGUUUGCUUUUCAUCUUUAAGUGGCUUUAGUGUGCUGUUUGAUUUGCUUGUAACGUCUUUUCAUCUGUUUUUUAACAUCUUUCAGGGGGUUAAUCUUUAUUGAGCCCCUUAAACAUUUAAUGAAUACCAG
RNAcentral lists this long non-coding RNA (1765 nucleotides) under Gossypium barbadense (sea-island cotton). RNAcentral describes it as "long non-coding RNA (GBAR_LNC020968)". The record is from RNAcentral. Lineage: Eukaryota; Viridiplantae; Streptophyta; Magnoliopsida; Malvales; Malvaceae.